Molecule: long non-coding RNA, 1362 nt
Filed under: Astyanax mexicanus (Mexican tetra)
Lineage: Eukaryota; Metazoa; Chordata; Actinopteri; Characiformes; Acestrorhamphidae
Description: lncRNA (ENSAMXG00005007711.1)
Source: RNAcentral
CGGCGCGAGAGCGGGCUGGACUUUAGCUCGCGCUGCUGGACUGAAAGCUCGCGAGCGCGCGCGUUGCUGGACCUGCCUGUGACGCCAUCGCUUCAUCUCUUCAUCUACAUACCCUCGCGAGCGCGCGCCCGUGCGCUCCAUCAGCAUCUCCUCUCUCAAUCGAGCAGAAACAAACGGGAAUCUCGCGCCUCCCCUCUACUGCAGAGAGAGAGAGAGAGAGAGAGAGAGAGAUGUGUGUAGACAGAGAGAGAGGGAUGGAGAUAUGGAGAGAGAGAUGUAUGUGUAGAGAGAGAGGUGGAGAGAGGAAAAGGGAGUGGUAGAGAAAGGUAGAGAGAGAGGGAGAGAGGUGGAGAGAAAGUGGUAGAGAGAGAGAGAGAAAGAGAGAGAGAGAGAGAGACAGAGGGAAGGGGUGUUGCUGCUCGCGCACAGAAAGAGAAAGAGAGAGAGAGCUAAAGAGAGAGAGAGAGAGAGGAGCUCAAUAGUCUGCGGCUCGUUCUCGCGCAGGUGAGCGCGGCAUUCCUCUCUGUAAUAUUUGUAUUAUUUUAUAUUUUUCUAUCACUGCUUUGUGACGCCACCGGAUCAGGCAGAUCGCGCGAGGACAGAAGAAGCGCGCGCGAGGAGAGGGAUCUGCAGAGCGCGCGGACACGGAAGAGGUGCUGUGCUCUGAAUCUAAUCUCAGAGGAGCACUCAUCACCCCAAAAGAGGAAGAAAUCAGACAAAAAGGAAAAUACAAGAAAAGUUCAGUCGAGAAGAAAAAAAGAAAGCUGGUUCUCAGCGGAUGUUCGGCUGAUGUUGACCUGUUCCGAAAGGGAGAGUCCCAAGGAGAUUUUAUGACGGAAGGUGUAUUCUUGUUCAGAGCAGCACUAAGAGGAGAUCUCCACUAUGAAUGCAGAUAGCGGAGGACGGGUUCGCAAGAGUGUGUCGCUGUCUCUGACUCUCUGGCCAAUCAAAAGAGUUCAGAGUUACCCCAAUCUGUACACAAAGACUGCAGGUACUUAUACUAGCAUAGAGCUAAUACACACACACACACACACAGUCAAACACACACAAACACACACACAAACUUACACAAACCAGAACACUAACAUUCUUUAGAUCAGUGCGUCAGGUCCUGUUAUAGCUAAUGUACACGGCUAAUCACCACUGUAAUCCUAGGGCGUUUUCACACUCGUCCUGAAUGAGUAGUACCUUACCCUGAACUAAUUGAGAGCUCGUUUGGGGAAAUGCCUCAUUAUUGCUGGUUUGUUUUCACACACAAGAACUCCAUUUGAGCCAUGGAUCGAUUGCACAGCUCCAUGCAAACAGCAGUCAGUCAUGUUGCUUUCAUCACCAUGAUGUCAGUACCCGCACUCACUCCACAAA